CGAAGAAAUACGAGAUGAUAAAGGCUUACAGAAAUGUUAAAGAAUAGAAGAAGAAUAAAGUGUAUUCAACAGAAUUGUUAUUGAAAUUCAAAAAGCUUCUAAUAAAACGCAAUUCAAAAUGAAAGACGAGCAGAUUCGCACUUAUAAAUUUACUUCGAAUAUCGAAAUCUGUAACUGUAGUCCCUCAGACAGUUGAUAGAUGGAAUAAUGGGAAUUUUUUUAGAUGUCGGUGCGUGUUUUCUUGGAUUGACAACAAUUAAUAAGCCGUUAAUGCGUUAUUAGACGUGUUCAAUCGAUGUUAAAUUAAGCGGAAGAAAAUCAGUUAUUUAAAUAGGAAAAAAAUUAAGCUUUUAUAUAAGAAAAGUUGAGCGUAUGGAAGAGAAAGUUUGUCUUUUAUGUAGGAAAAUAUAGAAAGCUUUUGUACACGCCGAAAACCUGAUGAGAUCGGAACCCACGCUUUACGAUAAACGUUUCCAGAAUAGGUUAAGAGGAUUAGAAGACAAGAUAAAUGUGUUUCUUCAGGUUAGAGCUUUCGAUACAUCACUUAAGGACAUGGGUUCAGACCUCAAUCGAAUACAAAACGUAUUACUUUUAUCUUUCGUUAGAUAAAGACACGGUUAAAG
Long non-coding RNA from Centruroides sculpturatus (bark scorpion), 623 nucleotides. RefSeq lists it as uncharacterized. Lineage: Eukaryota; Metazoa; Arthropoda; Arachnida; Scorpiones; Buthidae. The transcript has 3 exons. The record is from RefSeq and is a predicted model, not a curated record.